RNAcentral lists this ribosomal RNA (464 nucleotides) under uncultured bacterium. RNAcentral's name for it is "partial 16S ribosomal RNA". It matches the Rfam family "Bacterial small subunit ribosomal RNA", at positions 28 to 506 of the family's 1533-position model. The record is from RNAcentral.
GACGAACGCUGGCGGCGUGCUUAACACAUGCAAGUCGAACGGAAAGGCCCUGCCUGCAGGGUACUCGAGUGGCGAACGGGUGAGUAACACGUGGGUGAUCUGCCCUGCACUUCGGGAUAAGCCUGGGAAACUGGGUCUAAUACCGGAUAGGAGCCAUUUUUAGUGUGAUGGUUGGAAAGUUUUUUCGGUGUAGGAUGAGCUCGCGGCCUAUCAGCUUGUUGGUGGGGUAAUGGCCUACCAAGGCGGCGACGGGUAGCCGGCCUGAGAGGGUGGACGGCCACAUUGGGACUGAGAUACGGCCCAGACUCCUACGGGAGGCAGCAGUGGGGAAUAUUGCACAAUGGGCGCAAGCCUGAUGCAGCGACGCCGCGUGGGGGAUGACGGCCUUCGGGUUGUAAACUCCUUUCGCUAGGGACGAAGCUUUUUGUGACGGUACCUAGAUAAGAAGCACCGGCUAACUACGU